AAGUCGUAACAAGGUUUCCGUAGGUGAACCUGCGGAAGGAUCAUUAUUAAUUCUUCUAGUUAAGCGGCUGCGCGUUUUUUUUAAACCGCGCGGCUGUUUUUCUUGUGAACUGGGGCCUGCUUUUGAAGUUUACGCUUUUCUGGCAGGCCUGUCGUUAAUGCUCUUGUGUUAAUUUUUUUUUGUUUUUGCUUUUUUUAAGCUUGACCGCUUAAGAAAAAUAAUUACAAGACAACUUUCAGCAAUGGAUCUCUUGGCUCUU
This 259-nucleotide unclassified non-coding RNA is filed under the name Allomyces arbusculus. RNAcentral describes it as "partial internal transcribed spacer region". The stretch from base 1 to 46 matches the Rfam family "Eukaryotic small subunit ribosomal RNA", at positions 1786 to 1831 of the family's 1831-position model. The record is from RNAcentral. Lineage: Eukaryota; Fungi; Blastocladiomycota; Blastocladiomycetes; Blastocladiales; Blastocladiaceae.